RNAcentral lists this ribosomal RNA (625 nucleotides) under uncultured fungus. RNAcentral describes it as "eukaryotic LSU rRNA". It matches the Rfam family "Eukaryotic large subunit ribosomal RNA", at positions 24 to 664 of the family's 3401-position model. Lineage: Eukaryota; Fungi. The record is from RNAcentral.
CCCGCUGAACUUAAGCAUAUCAAUAAGCGGAGGAAAAGAAACCAACAGGGAUUGCCUCAGUAACGGCGAGUGAAGCGGCAAGAGCUCAAAUUUGAAAUCUGGCCUCUUUGGGGUCCGAGUUGUAAUUUGGAGAGGAUGCUUCGGGUUCAGCCCCCAUCUUAGUGCCCUGGACCGGGCCGUCAUAGAGGGUGAGAAUCCCGUCUGGGAUGGGUGGUUGUGCUCAUGUGAAGCUCCUUCGACGAGUCGAGUUGUUUGGGAAUGCAGCUCUAAAUGGGUGGUAAAUUUCAUCUAAAGCUAAAUAUUGGCCGGAGACCGAUAGCGCACAAGUAGAGUGAUCGAAAGAUGAAAAGCACUUUGAAAAGAGAGUGAAACAGCACGUGAAAUUGUUGAAAGGGAAGCGCUUGCAUCCAGACUCGCCUGGUGAGGCUCCACCGGUCCCUGUACCGGUUCACUCCUCCCCGGGCGGGCCAGCAUCGGUUUGGGCGGUUGGUUAAAGGCUCCCGGAAUGUAUCGCCCUCCGGGGCGUCUUAUAGCCGGGAGUGCCAUGCAUCCAGCCCGGACCGAGGAACGCGCUUCGGCUCGGACGCUGGCAUAAUGGUUGUAAGCGGCCCGUCUUGAAACACGG